AUUGAACGCUGGCGGCAUGCUUUACACAUGCAAGUCGAACGGCAGCGCGGGCUUCGGCCUGGCGGCGAGUGGCGAACAGGUGAGUAAUGCAUCGGAACGUGCCCAGUAGUGGGGGAUAGCCCGGCGAAAGCCGGAUUAAUACCGCAUACGACCUGAGGGUGAAAGCGGGGGACCGAAAGGCCUCGCGCUAUUGGAGCGGCCGAUGUCGGAUUAGCUAGUUGGUGGGGUAAAGGCUUACCAAGGCGACGAUCCGUAGCUGGUCUGAGAGGACGACCAGCCACACUGGAACUGAGACACGGCCCAGACUCCUACGGGAGGCAGCAGUGGGGAAUUUUGGACAAUGGGGGCAACCCUGAUCCAGCCAUGCCGCGUGCGGGAAGAAGGCCUUCGGGUUGUAAACCGCUUUUGUUCGGGAAGAAAUCCUCUGGGCUAAUACCCCGGGGGGAUGACGGUACCGGAAGAAUAAGCACCGGCUAACUACGUG
RNAcentral lists this ribosomal RNA (484 nucleotides) under uncultured bacterium. RNAcentral's name for it is "partial 16S ribosomal RNA". It matches the Rfam family "Bacterial small subunit ribosomal RNA", at positions 29 to 507 of the family's 1533-position model. The record is from RNAcentral.